AUUUGUAUUGCAUUUUCCUAGUUAAUAAAUCCAUGGAAAUCCAUCAUGAUCCAUCAUGAUAAAUCUAACCACUGAUUUACAUAACUAGGACUGGUGUCGUCCUUAAUUGAAGAUUUUGAGGGAGAUAGAUAUAAUACGAUGAUGUGCCCCAGUAUGAAUGCCAAUCACGAGUCAACUCUCCAUCCAAGUCAAUUAUUAAAGUAAAAUUGAAAAUGGGAAAUGUGUGAAAGAGACAACGUAACAACCCGACCAUAGAGCAGACAACAGCGGAAGGCCACCAAUGGUUCUACAAUGCAGCGAGAAACUCCCGCCACCGCCGAGGCGUCCAAGUUCAGCUGGCCCCUAAACAAAUAUGUAUAAUGACAAUCAAUCUGUAAAAUUAGUAUAAGCGCUCAUCCAUUAACAUGAUUAAGGAUUGAGACUGGUAGAUAUGCCAAACUUUAUGUGAAUAGGACACUGAGAAAAUGUUUAUACUGUACUUCAAAUAAAGUUGAAGAUGAGAUACACUUUCGGUAACUGCUGAAUGUCCACUAUAUAUUGAUUUUUUUACUGAAAUCAUUCUCUAAAUUGUAAAAAUUUUCAAUCUUUAGACAAUUUUUCAAAGUUUUUAUGGCUAUUUCCACAAGAAAAUUUAAAUGUGUAUAAAUUUUUAGGAAAGUAUUUAUCUAAAAAUCUAGAGAUAUGGAGAAGUUCAAAAA
This is a long non-coding RNA of Mytilus trossulus (common blue mussel), 698 nucleotides long. RefSeq lists it as uncharacterized. The record is from RefSeq and is a predicted model, not a curated record. Lineage: Eukaryota; Metazoa; Mollusca; Bivalvia; Mytilida; Mytilidae. The transcript is spliced from 2 exons.